RNAcentral lists this ribosomal RNA (37 nucleotides) under Paraglomus brasilianum. Its description in RNAcentral is "partial 26S ribosomal RNA". The record is from RNAcentral. Lineage: Eukaryota; Fungi; Glomeromycota; Glomeromycetes; Paraglomerales; Paraglomeraceae.
GGGCCUCAAAACAGACAAGAGUACCCGCUGAACUUAA